UUGGUUAUGAGAAGAGUGGAAUCAGCCU
This 28-nucleotide non-coding RNA is filed under the name Rattus norvegicus (Norway rat). The record is from RNAcentral. Lineage: Eukaryota; Metazoa; Chordata; Mammalia; Rodentia; Muridae.